UGGGAUAUAGUGCAAUGGUUAGUACGUCAGACUUUGACUCUGAAGGUGGGGGUUCGAAUCCCUCUAUCCCAA
RNAcentral lists this transfer RNA (72 nucleotides) under Candidatus Riesia sp. RNAcentral describes it as "tRNA-Gln". It matches the Rfam family "tRNA". From Rfam's summary of the family: Transfer RNA (tRNA) molecules are approximately 80 nucleotides in length. The record is from RNAcentral. Lineage: Bacteria; Pseudomonadati; Pseudomonadota; Gammaproteobacteria; Enterobacterales; Enterobacteriaceae.